UGUGUAAGUAUAAGCCUCUACACGGUAAGACUGCGAAUGGCUCAUUACAACGGUAAUAGUUUAUUUGAUGUCCAAAUUUACAUGGAUAACUGUGGUAAUUCUAGAGCUAAUACAUGCGCCAGUGCUCGACUUUUAGGAAGAGCAGGUCUUACUAGCUGAAAACCAGCCCGUUCGCGGACUCGGAUGAAUCACAGUAACUAACCGAAUUGCAGUUGCUGCAAUGUGUCAUUCAAGUUUCCGACCUAUCAGCUUCCGACGGUAGGGUAUUGGCCUACCGUGGCAUUGACGGGUAACGGGGAAUUGGGGUUUGAUUCCGGAGAGGGAGCCUGAGAAACGGCUACCACAUCUAAGGAAGGCAGCAGGCGCGCAAAUUACCCAAUCCUGACUCAGGGAGGUAGUGACAAGAAAUAACAACACGGGGCACUAUAGUUGCUUUGUGAUUGGAAUGAGGUUAGUAUAAACCCCUUGCCAAGUAUCAAUUGGAGGGCAAGUCUGGUGCCAGCAGCCGCGGUAAUUCCAGCUCCAAUAGCGUAUAUUAAAGUUGUUGCAGUUAAAAAGCUCGUAGUUGAAUUUCUGCUGCGGCGACCUCGUGAUGCUAUGCGUUGUGUGUGUCGCUUCAGCAUUUUCCUUUGCACUGCACUUUAUUGUGUGUGUGUUGGGGAAGCUUUACUUUGAGAAAAAUAGAGUGUUUCAAGCAGGCUGUGCCUUGAAUACUGCAGCAUGGAAUAAUGAGAUAGACCUGCAUUCCUAUUUCGUUGGUUUUGAGGAAUGAGUGAUGAUUAAUAGGGAUAGUUGGGGGCAUUUGUAUUCGACUGUCAGAGGUGAAAUUCUUAGAUUUGUCGAAGACAGACAACUGCGAAAGCAUUUGCCAAGGAUAUUCUCAUUAAUCAAGAACGAAAGUUAGGGGAUCGAAGACGAUCAGAUACCGUCGUAGUCUUAACCAUAAACUAUGCCGACUAGAGAUUGGAGGGCGUCGUCCUAGACCUCUUCAGCACCUUAUGAGAAAUCAAAGUUUCUGGGUUCUGGGGGGAGUAUGGUCGCAAGGCUGAAACUUAAAGGAAUUGACGGAAGGGCACCACCAGGAGUGGAGCCUGCGGCUUAAUUUGACUCAACACGGGAAAACUUACCAGGUCCAGACAUAGGAAGGAUUGACAGAUUGAUAGCUCUUUCUUGAUUCUAUGGGUGGUGGUGCAUGGCCGCUCUUAGUUGGUGGAGUGAUUUGUCUGGUUAAUUCCGAUAACGAACGAGACCUUAACCUGCUAAAUAGAGGCUGCGGAUAUUACUUCUGCGUUCUCUUCUUAGAGGGACUGUUGUGUGCCUAAUCAAAGGAAGUCUGAGGCAAUAACAGGUCUGUGAUGCCCUUAGACGUUCUGGGCUGCACGCGCGCUACAAUGAUGCAUUCAACGAGUUGUUAUCCUUGUCUGAAGAGACUGGGUACUCUCUUGAGUGUGCAUCGUAAUGGGGAUAGACUAUUGUAACUAUUAGUCUUCAACGAGGAAUUCCUUGUAAGCGUGAGUCAUCAGCUCAUGCUGAAUACGUCCCUGCCCUUUGUACACACCGCCCGUCGCUCCUACCGAUUGGAUGAUCCGGUGAACUAUUCAGAGUUGCUGUGUGGAUUUUGUCUGCUCAGUCGGCAAAGUUUCGUGAACCUUAUCACUUAGAGGAAGGAGAAGUCG
This 1676-nucleotide ribosomal RNA is filed under the name uncultured eukaryote. Its description in RNAcentral is "SSU rRNA". It matches the Rfam family "Eukaryotic small subunit ribosomal RNA". The record is from RNAcentral.